GCGGAUGUCAGCGGUUCGAGUCCGCUUAUCUCCA
RNAcentral lists this transfer RNA (34 nucleotides) under Pyrus spinosa. RNAcentral's name for it is "tRNA-Ala". Lineage: Eukaryota; Viridiplantae; Streptophyta; Magnoliopsida; Rosales; Rosaceae. The record is from RNAcentral.